Sapajus apella (tufted capuchin) is the source of this 146-nucleotide long non-coding RNA. RefSeq lists it as uncharacterized. The record is from RefSeq and is a predicted model, not a curated record. Lineage: Eukaryota; Metazoa; Chordata; Mammalia; Primates; Cebidae. The transcript is spliced from 3 exons.
CUGUUGGGAAGACAUAAUUGAGUUUUUAAAUGUGAGAAAGACAUAAUAUUUGGGAGGGAACAGGGGUGGAAUAAUAUGCUUUGGUUCUGUGUUCCCACUCAAAUCUCAUGUCAAACUGUAAUCACCAUGUUUUGAAUUUGGGAAAG